UCGCUGAGUGAAGAGGCUCUGAGACUAGAGUUUGAGAACAUCUGCCUAAGGAAGAGCUUACGAAUUCCAAAACCAUGGCAGGAAUGGCGAUCCUUAGAGAAGAUGGAUUCAUUUCAGGGACAUGUUAACUGUAAAAAGAUCAACUCUUCCUCUCUGAACCAACAGCCUGUGUCUACUCCCAAGUGCAAGUGUCCUGAGAGAGGUAUGGCUGCAUGCCUGCCAGGGAGUUUCCUUCCUUUACUUCAUAGCACUGUUUGUUCACAACAUUUUCUUCCUUAUUGACUUGAACACAAGGACACCACCUACCUCAUGUCUUCCUUCUUCCCGUGGAUGUCCAGAUGAAGCACUCCACACUCCUUUGAGAGAGAUAAACAAGGAAGAUGUGUGCUUAGUCCAGAGGUUUCAUCAAGAAAUGAAAGCAGAGACAAUAAAGUUUUGGUCUUGGUUCUCCUGUUGGCUUCAGAAUGAACAUAAUUAAGAUGAUUAACGAUCAACUCAGGCCUGAAAAAUGAGUAACUGUAGGUCAUGUUGCCAUGAAGUUACGAAGAAAAAGAACUCUUCAGAGGUGUAUACAUGUUCCUGGCCACUCUGCUUCUUAGGGUGGAGUUAGAGGACUCCCCGCCCUCCUUGCCUGCGAAGGAGGAGGCGUGGCCACACAGAUAAAGCUGGUCUGAAAAGAGCAUGGCUUUAUUUGUUCUGGGGCCAGGAACCUGUGGAUUGGAUGAUUCUGCGUUGUGGCAGCAUUGUCAACUGAUGGACCCACCAGUUCCUGAAUCCUGCUGACUAAUGGAUCAUUGUCAACUUGCUGGAGCUUUGAGGAAGGGCUUCAGAAGCUGAUGGCAUAGUUAUGAGAGGGGUGAAGACUGCGACUGCAUUUCCAACAGACCCUGAGGACAAUUGGGAAGAAUGCGCUGAAUAUUUUUGAGCAAUUUCUAUAUGAUAAGCAGUUUUUAGGCAAGGGGGAUGAGUCCAUAAGAUGACACUGGAAAAGGGGAUUGGCUUGAGUGCACCAGGGGGCCAGAGACAUGGGUCAUCCCUGGUGACGGGAGUUGGAAUGCUCCCCUGAGAUGGAGACUGGAAGUACAAGAAAGAAGAAAGUUGUUGUGAGGGCAAGUAUAGGUUGCACUGAUCCUGACCUUUUGGCCUGAGGAUGGAAGUCUUCAGUAUCUGUACAACUUUACUCCCAAGAGCUGGUGUAGAAUGAGUUCCUCUGGCCAUGGGAGGAUCGCAGAGGGGCACCUGCCACCAGCAGCCCAGCCUCAGCACUUUUCUCUUCAGCGUCUUCUUCAAGGUAUUUCCAGUUGCCCGCCCUGAACUGUUUCAGAAUGAGGAGGACACCUGGAGGAAUCUACACGUGCAUAGACCAAUUUGCAAAAGAACCUGUGAGCCAACAUUAUUACCUCAGCUGGAAGAAUUAAUAAGCAACACGUUCACCCAAGAAGUAUUUACUGAGCACCUACUAUGUGCAUUAUUUUCUGGUGUUGGGGCUAGGGGGCAAACGACUCUGACAAGUCUCUGUUCUCAAGGCUGGAGUGCAGCGGCGCGAUCUCGGCUCACUGCAAGCUCCGCCUCCCGGGUUCACGCCAUUCUCCUGCCUCAGCCUCCCGAGUAGCUGGGACUACAGGCGCCCGCAACCACGCCCGGCUAAUUUUUUGUAUUUUUAGUAGAGAUGGGGUUUCACCAUGUUAGUCAGGAUGGUCUCGAUUUCCUGACCUUGUGAUCCGCCCGCCCCCGCCUCCCAAAGUGCUGGGAUUACAGGCGUGAGCCACCGCGCCCGGCCGUAGUUUACAUUUUCUAAAGCGUACUCUGCCAGCCAAGUGGCAAACAGACUUGGGCCUCUUAAGAGUGGAAGCAGGAGGAAACCCGAAGAUCCUGGAGAGAGACUGGUGGCUGGUACCAGUGGAGAGGGAGCAAAAAGGAAAAUACAGGAUACAAUUUCAGGAAAAAUUUCAUACCAAUUUCCUGAGGUAAUUUCUGAACUCGAACAUUUUCAGUGUCACCACAUUGUGUUUCCUGCUGAAUCAAGUCUACAUCACUUCGGUUUUUAAAGCCUUCCACGAUCCUUCCCUGAACACUGUAGUUUUCACUGAUGGUUGGCUGUUUCAAACUCCCAUAUGAUCCAUACUGUAUCAUUAAUAAGCAAGCAAGGAAUAACACACCCUCUGCUAUUCUGUGCAGUGUUUCAGGUUUUUAGUUUUCUCUUUCAAGAUAGAAAAUCCCUUUAGAGUAGGAACUCGGCUGGCACUUUCUUUCACAUCCUGCAUAGCACUUAGCAAAGUUCUGUACACAGGGCACAUGUGGAAAUUGCUUAUUGAUUGAUUAAAAGCAUAUAUCACUGGCAUUUGUAUCUUCAGUAUUUCUCUUGUAUGAAGAAGGGUGAUUAUCUGUCAAUAUUCAUUGCAUCAUUGAACCAAUGUACAAUGCAUUAAUCAUCACUGAAGAUAACCAGAUGAGGCUUUAUUGUAAUCUCCUUCUAUUUUGCUGAGAUAAUUUCACUUGCUUUAGAGUUUAUGAGGCCAUAAGUGGCUCCCAUCUGUUGAUGAACAUAUUUCUAAGAGUCAUUUAGUCUCAAGUAUGGAAUACUUGAGGGGAAGUUAAAUUGUAACUUUUAUAUUAAGUGUCAUCUUAGUAACAGAACCAAAAUUGGAAGCAUGUGUUCAAUUUUGGUUUUUCAUUUUCAAAGCUUUAGGUCAGGCAAAGAAUUAAUUUCAUUUGUUUACAAAGUAGAUUAUGCCUAAUAAAAUCUAUUUUGUUUAUGGUCACAUUUUAAUCAAUCCACUGCUUUAGAAAAUGAGAGAAUUCUGAUUGGCUAAUCAUUCAACAUAGUAAAUUACAUUAUUCCACAUCCACAGAACACUGGCCUAAUUGCAUUAUCCAGUAAUGAUAAAAAUAUUCCUUUUAAUACAUUUUGAGCAAGGCAUAUACCAGUGAUGAAACAGGGAAGAAUCUUGUUUAUUCCAUCCUUGUUUGAUGAUCGACCACAGAAUAUAACAUAACACUUCUGUGUAUAAGAAUUUUUUCAACAUUAAGGAUAAUAAGGACAAGGUAGUUUUCACUGGAUCCUUACUGGUACUCUGAAUUUUCACUAUUUGUCCGCAUUUCUUCUCCUUCCCGGAAAUUUGUUUUCUGCGAAAAACAAGUGCUACUUUGUCAAAUAAAGCUUAAAUAAAAUUGGUUUCAAUUUAUGCAUAAUAAAAGGAAUGCCUAGUGACUUUCUAUCUCUAGUGGGAGGUAGAAAACUCUCCAGGGUGACUUUAUUCACUCCAGAGGUUCUGGUGAGCACCAAGGAACAUUACCUCUGCAAAAUGCAGACAUACGCAAAAGGAUGCAUCAAAUUUAAGAGAAGUCCGUAGAUAGAUAUCUGAGGGAUCUGCCUUAGGGGAUGUAGACCAUAUAUACAACACGAAUUCCACAGAAUUAGCCUGGUAUUCACGAUCACUGUUUCUUAAAACAUAACUCUUUUAUGUUACCAAGCAACUUUUAUCUGAGAUGAUGACUACUCGAAUACUUCUUUUGCAUAUCGCCAGAAAAUAUCAAGUUUUCAUUUGAGUCCUUAAUUCAAGUUCUUUAUCACAAGAAGAAAGAAUAGCAUGGAUAAAAUGGUUUAAAGGUAGCCAAAAAAAAAACAAAACAUUGUAUUUUAGAAUGCAUAUUCAAACAUAUUCCAAAAAAUACUGUAUUUUAGAAUGCAUAUUCAAACAUGAUGACAAGUGGGCUCUGUGGCUCAUAUUGACAAUAGCUUUAACCUAUGAAGUGAGUGUCUUUCUAUACGGAGGUGAUGAGUUACUCAAUACUGAACGGCUCUACUAAAUUGUGCUUUUGGCUAUUAGAACUUGGCUACUGCCUUUCGUUGCUAUGUGUUGAGAGAAAAAUCUCAAAUGAUGAUGCUAACCAUUUUGCUAAUAAAAUAUGCUAAGCUG
RNAcentral lists this long non-coding RNA (3920 nucleotides) under Homo sapiens (human). RNAcentral's name for it is "PREDICTED lncRNA (TCONS_00124013)". Lineage: Eukaryota; Metazoa; Chordata; Mammalia; Primates; Hominidae. The record is from RNAcentral.